GACGAACGCUGGCGGCGUGCUUAACACAUGCAAGUCGAACGGAAAGGCCCUGCUUUUGUGGGGUGCUCGAGUGGCGAACGGGUCAGUAACACGUGAGUAACCUGCCCUUGACUUUGGGAUAACUUCAGGAAACUGGGGCUAAUACCGGAUAGGAGCUCCUGCUGCAUGGUGGGGGUUGGAAAGUUUCGGCGGCUGGGGAUGGACUCGUGGCUUAUCAGCUUGUUGGUGGGGUAGUGGCUUACCAAGGCUUUGACGGGUAGCCGGCCUGAGAGGGUGACCGGCCACAUUGGGACUGAGAUACGGCCCAGACUCCUACGGGAGGCAGCAGUGGGGAAUAUUGCACAAUGGGCGGAAGCCUGAUGCAGCAACGCCGCGUGCGGGAUGACGGCCUUCGGGUUGUAAACCGCUUUCGCCUGUGACGAAGCGUGAGUGACGGUAAUGGGUAAAGAAGCACCGGCUAACUACGUG
This 468-nucleotide ribosomal RNA is filed under the name uncultured bacterium. RNAcentral's name for it is "partial 16S ribosomal RNA". It matches the Rfam family "Bacterial small subunit ribosomal RNA", at positions 28 to 507 of the family's 1533-position model. The record is from RNAcentral.